AAGAUCUUAAGUUAAACCAAACUGUGGGCCUUCAAAGCCUAAAAUAGGUUAUUAAACCUAGGUCUUG
This 67-nucleotide transfer RNA is filed under the name Rhinoclavis sinensis. RNAcentral describes it as "tRNA-Trp". Lineage: Eukaryota; Metazoa; Mollusca; Gastropoda; Cerithiidae. The record is from RNAcentral.